CCUACGGGAGGCAGCAGUGAGGAAUAUUGGUCAAUGGACGAGAGUCUGAACCAGCCAAGUAGCGUGAAGGAUGACUGCCCUAUGGGUUGUAAACUUCUUUUAUCUGGGAAUAAAACAGGGUAUGCAUACCCUCUUGUAUGUACCAUAUGAAUAAGGAUCGGCUAACUCCGUGCCAGCAGCCGCGGUAAUACGGCGGAUCCGAGCGUUAUCCGGAUUUAUUGGGUUUAAAGGGAGCGUAGGUGGAUUGUUAAGUCAGUUGUGAAAGUUUGCGGCUCAACCGUAAAAUUGCAGUUGAAACUGGCAGUCUUGAGUACAGUAGAGGUGGGCGGAAUGCGUGGUGUAGCGGUGAAAUGCGUAGAUAUCACGAAGAACUCCGAUUGCGAAGGCAGCUCACUGGACUGCAACUGACACUGAUGCUCGAAAGUGUGGGUAUCGAACAGGAUUAGAUACCCGUGUAGUC
This 460-nucleotide ribosomal RNA is filed under the name uncultured bacterium. RNAcentral describes it as "partial 16S ribosomal RNA". It matches the Rfam family "Bacterial small subunit ribosomal RNA", at positions 338 to 795 of the family's 1533-position model. The record is from RNAcentral.